RNAcentral lists this ribosomal RNA (157 nucleotides) under Balansia andropogonis. RNAcentral describes it as "5.8S ribosomal RNA". It matches the Rfam family "5.8S ribosomal RNA". From Rfam's summary of the family: 5.8S ribosomal RNA (5.8S rRNA) is a component of the large subunit of the eukaryotic ribosome. RNAcentral also lists the same sequence under 9 other names. The record is from RNAcentral. Lineage: Eukaryota; Fungi; Ascomycota; Sordariomycetes; Hypocreales; Clavicipitaceae.
AAACUUUCAACAACGGAUCUCUUGGUUCUGGCAUCGAUGAAGAACGCAGCGAAAUGCGAUAAGUAAUGUGAAUUGCAGAAUUUAGUGAAUCAUCGAAUCUUUGAACGCACAUUGCGCCCGCCAGUAUUCUGGCGGGCAUGCCUGUUCGAGCGUCAUU